RNAcentral lists this unclassified non-coding RNA (398 nucleotides) under soil metagenome. Its description in RNAcentral is "partial contains 5.8S ribosomal RNA, internal transcribed spacer 2, and large subunit ribosomal RNA". The stretch from base 1 to 122 matches the Rfam family "5.8S ribosomal RNA", at positions 35 to 154 of the family's 154-position model. The record is from RNAcentral.
GAUGAAGAACGUAGUGAAAUGCGAUACUUGGUGUGAAUUGCAGAAUCCCGUGAACCAUCGAGUCUUUGAACGCAAGUUGCGCCUCAAGCCAUUAGGUUGAGGGCACGUCUGCCUGGGCGUCACAUAUCGUUGCCUGAUGCCAGUUUCCUCGUGAUGGGUGACUGUGCAGGGCGAAUGAUGGCUUCCCGUGAGCAUUGUUGCCUCAUGGUUGGUUGAAAAUUGAGUCCUUGGUAGGGAGCGCCGUGAUAGAUGGUGGUUGAGUGACGAACGAGACCCAAUCAUGUGAGACCCCUACCGAAUUUGGCCUUCAUGACCCACAUGCGUCUUUGGAACGCUCAUGACGAGACCUCAGGUCAGGCGGGGCUACCCGCUGAGUUUAAGCAUAUCAAUAAGCGGAG